RNAcentral lists this transfer RNA (68 nucleotides) under Callista chinensis. Its description in RNAcentral is "tRNA-His". The record is from RNAcentral. Lineage: Eukaryota; Metazoa; Mollusca; Bivalvia; Venerida; Veneridae.
UUGACUUAGUUUAUAUAAAAUGUUGUCUUGUGGUGACAGAGAAAAUAUAAUUUUAGAGUUAGUCAAUA